UACGUAGGGGGCAAGCGUUGUCCGGAAUCAUUGGGCGUAAAGCGCGCGUAGGCGGCCCGGUAAGUCCGUUGUGAAAGUCAAAGGCUCAACCUUUGAAUGCCGAUGGAUACUGCCGGGCUAGAGUCCGGAAGAGGCGAGUGGAACUCCUGGUGUAGCGGUGGAAUGCGCAGAUAUCAGGAGGAACACCGAUAGCGAAGGCAGCUCGCUGGGACGGUACUGACGCUGAGGCGCGAAAGCGUGGGGAGCGAACAGG
Molecule: ribosomal RNA, 253 nt
Filed under: uncultured bacterium
Lineage: Bacteria
Description: partial 16S ribosomal RNA
Rfam family: Bacterial small subunit ribosomal RNA
Source: RNAcentral